This 371-nucleotide ribosomal RNA is filed under the name uncultured bacterium. Its description in RNAcentral is "bacterial SSU rRNA". It matches the Rfam family "Bacterial small subunit ribosomal RNA", at positions 527 to 896 of the family's 1533-position model. The record is from RNAcentral.
GGGGGGGGCAGGCGUUGUUCGGAAUUACUGGGCGUAAAGGGCUCGUAGGCGGCCAACUAAGUCGGACGUGAAAUCCCCAGGCUCAACCUGGGAACUGCGUCCGAUACUGGAUGGCUUGAAUCCGGGAGAGGGAUGCAGAAUUCCAGGUGUAGCGGUGAAAUGCGUAGAUAUCUGGAGGAAUACCGGUGGCGAAGGCGGCAUCCUGGACCGGCAUUGACGCUGAGGAGCGAAAGCCAGGGGAGCAAACGGGAUUAGAUACCCCGGUAGUCCUGGCCCUAAACGAUGAAUGCUUGGUGUAACGGGUAUCGAUCCCUGUUGUGCCGAAGCUAACGCAUUAAGCAUUCCGCCUGGGGAGUACGGUCGCAAGGCUG